Molecule: microRNA precursor, 125 nt
Filed under: Daucus carota subsp. sativus
Lineage: Eukaryota; Viridiplantae; Streptophyta; Magnoliopsida; Apiales; Apiaceae
Description: sRNA DCAR_mi00218
Source: RNAcentral
CAGUAUAUUGAUUGAUGCGUAUUGCAAAGAAGGAAUGAUUGAAGAUGCAGAGGAUGUGAUAGAGUUGAUGACUCAAAGAGGCCAUUAUCCUAAUGUAGUCACUUACAAUUCACUAAUGGAUGGAU